UACUAGAGAGCUUAUCAAAGCACUUGACUUUUAAUCAAGAGAUAAUAUAUUUAUAUUUCUAGUUA
RNAcentral lists this transfer RNA (65 nucleotides) under Amynthas deogyusanensis. RNAcentral's name for it is "tRNA-Lys". It matches the Rfam family "tRNA". From Rfam's summary of the family: Transfer RNA (tRNA) molecules are approximately 80 nucleotides in length. Their secondary structure includes four short double-helical elements and three loops (D, anti-codon, and T loops). Lineage: Eukaryota; Metazoa; Annelida; Clitellata; Crassiclitellata; Megascolecidae. The record is from RNAcentral.